This 1544-nucleotide ribosomal RNA is filed under the name Lactiplantibacillus plantarum. RNAcentral's name for it is "Lactobacillus plantarum partial 16S ribosomal RNA". It matches the Rfam family "Bacterial small subunit ribosomal RNA". The record is from RNAcentral. Lineage: Bacteria; Bacillati; Bacillota; Bacilli; Lactobacillales; Lactobacillaceae.
UUAAUUUGAGAGUUUGAUCCUGGCUCAGGACGAACGCUGGCGGCGUGCCUAAUACAUGCAAGUCGAACGAACUCUGGUAUUGAUUGGUGCUUGCAUCAUGAUUUACAUUUGAGUGAGUGGCGAACUGGUGAGUAACACGUGGGAAACCUGCCCAGAAGCGGGGGAUAACACCUGGAAACAGAUGCUAAUACCGCAUAACAACUUGGACCGCAUGGUCCGAGUUUGAAAGAUGGCUUCGGCUAUCACUUUUGGAUGGUCCCGCGGCGUAUUAGCUAGAUGGUGGGGUAACGGCUCACCAUGGCAAUGAUACGUAGCCGACCUGAGAGGGUAAUCGGCCACAUUGGGACUGAGACACGGCCCAAACUCCUACGGGAGGCAGCAGUAGGGAAUCUUCCACAAUGGACGAAAGUCUGAUGGAGCAACGCCGCGUGAGUGAAGAAGGGUUUCGGCUCGUAAAACUCUGUUGUUAAAGAAGAACAUAUCUGAGAGUAACUGUUCAGGUAUUGACGGUAUUUAACCAGAAAGCCACGGCUAACUACGUGCCAGCAGCCGCGGUAAUACGUAGGUGGCAAGCGUUGUCCGGAUUUAUUGGGCGUAAAGCGAGCGCAGGCGGUUUUUUAAGUCUGAUGUGAAAGCCUUCGGCUCAACCGAAGAAGUGCAUCGGAAACUGGGAAACUUGAGUGCAGAAGAGGACAGUGGAACUCCAUGUGUAGCGGUGAAAUGCGUAGAUAUAUGGAAGAACACCAGUGGCGAAGGCGGCUGUCUGGUCUGUAACUGACGCUGAGGCUCGAAAGUAUGGGUAGCAAACAGGAUUAGAUACCCUGGUAGUCCAUACCGUAAACGAUGAAUGCUAAGUGUUGGAGGGUUUCCGCCCUUCAGUGCUGCAGCUAACGCAUUAAGCAUUCCGCCUGGGGAGUACGGCCGCAAGGCUGAAACUCAAAGGAAUUGACGGGGGCCCGCACAAGCGGUGGAGCAUGUGGUUUAAUUCGAAGCUACGCGAAGAACCUUACCAGGUCUUGACAUACUAUGCAAAUCUAAGAGAUUAGACGUUCCCUUCGGGGACAUGGAUACAGGUGGUGCAUGGUUGUCGUCAGCUCGUGUCGUGAGAUGUUGGGUUAAGUCCCGCAACGAGCGCAACCCUUAUUAUCAGUUGCCAGCAUUAAGUUGGGCACUCUGGUGAGACUGCCGGUGACAAACCGGAGGAAGGUGGGGAUGACGUCAAAUCAUCAUGCCCCUUAUGACCUGGGCUACACACGUGCUACAAUGGAUGGUACAACGAGUUGCGAACUCGCGAGAGUAAGCUAAUCUCUUAAAGCCAUUCUCAGUUCGGAUUGUAGGCUGCAACUCGCCUACAUGAAGUCGGAAUCGCUAGUAAUCGCGGAUCAGCAUGCCGCGGUGAAUACGUUCCCGGGCCUUGUACACACCGCCCGUCACACCAUGAGAGUUUGUAACACCCAAAGUCGGUGGGGUAACCUUUUAGGAACCAGCCGCCUAAGGUGGGACAGAUGAUUAGGGUGAAGUCGUAACAAGGUAGCCGUAGGAGA